GGAUGAUGGAGUCGACAUGUUCGAAAGUGAUUAAGUUCGGUCAUCUUUUUAUUUUCUAGUUUAUUUUUUUUUAAGUUAGUACUUUUAGUUAAAUUUUUAGACUAUGCUAAAACUAUUGGUUUAUGUUAUGUUUGCAUUAUCUUGUGUGUUAUGUGGUGCUUGGCAUAUAUUGUUUGCAUGAUUGAUAUUUUUUUUCUCUCUAUUUCACCCUUUUUUUUAAUGAUAAAGGGGGAGAAGAGAUUGUUACUAUGUUAUUUCCUUGUUUGUUGUUUCUGUCUAACAAAAUGCAGAUUUCAAAAGACUCCUUAAUUCAUAAAUUAAGGGGGAGCAUCAAUUAAGUGGGAGCAUUUGCUAGAGA
This 358-nucleotide long non-coding RNA is filed under the name Lathyrus oleraceus (garden pea). Its description in RNAcentral is "Pisum sativum (pea) long non-coding RNA (PSAT_LNC006573)". Lineage: Eukaryota; Viridiplantae; Streptophyta; Magnoliopsida; Fabales; Fabaceae. The record is from RNAcentral.